This 320-nucleotide unclassified non-coding RNA is filed under the name soil metagenome. RNAcentral describes it as "partial contains 5.8S ribosomal RNA, internal transcribed spacer 2, and large subunit ribosomal RNA". The stretch from base 1 to 120 matches the Rfam family "5.8S ribosomal RNA", at positions 35 to 154 of the family's 154-position model. The record is from RNAcentral.
GAUGAAGAACGCAGCGAAAUGCGAUACGUAAUAUGAAUUGCAGAUAUUCGUGAAUCAUCGAAUCUUUGAACGCACAUUGCGCCCUUUGGUAUUCCAAAGGGCAUGCCUGUUUGAGCGUCAUUUCUCCCUCAAACCCCCGGGUUUGGUGUUGAGCAAUACGCUAGGUUUGUUUGAAAGAAUUUACGUGGAAACUUAUUUUAAGCGACUUAGGUUUAUCCAAAACGCUUAUUUUGCUAGUGGCCACCACAAUUUAUUUCAUAACUUUGACCUCAAAUCAGGUAGGACUACCCGCUGAACUUAAGCAUAUCAAUAGCGGAGGA